AUGUUGUAUGAAAGGAGAGAAAGUUAGCACUCCCCUCACAAGGAUGGAAGAGGCUUUGCCUUCAACACAUAUACAUAUGAUUAAGGCACUGCCACCUACUUCAUCACAUCUAACCAACAUUUUAA
This is a small nuclear RNA of Sorex fumeus (smoky shrew), 125 nucleotides long. The record is from RefSeq and is a predicted model, not a curated record. NCBI's taxonomy places the organism in Eukaryota, Metazoa, Chordata, Mammalia, Eulipotyphla, Soricidae.